Dermochelys coriacea (leatherback sea turtle) is the source of this 647-nucleotide long non-coding RNA. RefSeq lists it as uncharacterized. The record is from RefSeq and is a predicted model, not a curated record. The transcript is spliced from 4 exons. Lineage: Eukaryota; Metazoa; Chordata; Testudines; Dermochelyidae.
GGAUGCUCUCUGGGUUGCAGCCACAGGAGCCAGUCUGGGCUAGCACCUCUUACUGACCACAGGCAGUGGCAAGGGCUAGGAAGGAACCCUGCUGCUUUAGCCACAGAGAGGAAAUUUAAUGCAGAAAGGAGCUGCUUGGAUUACCUGGCUGCCACUUCACCUUGAAACAUCACUGCCAGUUGGAACCAGCAACAACAUGAGUUUUCUGGAAAUCCCUGGUUCAGCCCUCAAUGCGUCUCACAAGGUGAGAGCCAUUGUAUAAGUGGGGGCUUGUUCAGGAUUCAAACACGCUUGUGAUGCACUUCUUUUGAGCAGAAGUAGUAUGCAACUGACUGGUUAGAGAAACCGCAGCUGAGGUUUCAACCAAUGUCCCAUCAAAGGCCCCAAGUGAAAGCAGAUUUGGGUAAUACUAGCUAUGUUUCCCACCUGCAAGCAGCUGGAUCCCAAGCGCACGGGCACUUUGCAUGACGGAUUGUGAACAUCAUUACUGGCUGAGUAGUGUUUAUUCACAUGAGCGAUGCCAUUGGUAUCAGCAGGUGGUACCCACCCCUGUGGGACAGGCUGAUUCCUUGGCAGGAUCAAGCUCUUCAUUGGUUUUCGUGGACACUCCUGAGAUGAGUUUGUGGGAGGACCUUAACUGGCAGUGC